UAGGGAAUCUUCCGCAAUGGACGCAAGUCUGACGGAGCAACGCCGCGUGAGUGAAGAAGGAUUUCGGUUCGUAAAACUCUGUUGUUAGAGAAGAACAGCGCAUAGAGUAACUGUUAUGCGUGUGACGGUAUCUAACCAGAAAGCCACGGCUAACUACGUGCCAGCAGCCGCGGUAAUACGUAGGUGGCAAGCGUUGUCCGGAUUUAUUGGGCGUAAAGCGAGCGCAGGCGGUAAAUUAAGUCUGAUGUGAAAGCCCCCGGCUCAACCGGGGGAGGUCAUUGGAAACUGGUUGACUUGAGUGCAGAAGGGGAGAGUGGAAUUCCAUGUGUGGCGGUGAAAUGCGUAGAUAUAUGGAGGAACACCAGUGGCGAAGGCGACUCUCUGGUCUGUAACUGACGCUGAAGCUCGAAAGCGUGGGUAGCAAACAGG
This 429-nucleotide ribosomal RNA is filed under the name Bacteroidota bacterium. RNAcentral describes it as "Bacteroidetes bacterium partial 16S ribosomal RNA". It matches the Rfam family "Bacterial small subunit ribosomal RNA", at positions 355 to 776 of the family's 1533-position model. Lineage: Bacteria; Pseudomonadati; Bacteroidota. The record is from RNAcentral.